RNAcentral lists this transfer RNA (81 nucleotides) under Perca fluviatilis (European perch). RNAcentral's name for it is "tRNA-Ser". It matches the Rfam family "tRNA". From Rfam's summary of the family: Transfer RNA (tRNA) molecules are approximately 80 nucleotides in length. Their secondary structure includes four short double-helical elements and three loops (D, anti-codon, and T loops). Lineage: Eukaryota; Metazoa; Chordata; Actinopteri; Perciformes; Percidae. The record is from RNAcentral.
GGUGAGGUGGCCAAGUGGUUAAAGGGUGGACUGCUAAGCCAUUGUGCUCUACAUGUGUGGGUUUGCAUCCCAUCCUCGUUG